AGAAAGCUUUGCUGAUCCUACUUA
Molecule: non-coding RNA, 24 nt
Filed under: Arabidopsis thaliana (thale cress)
Lineage: Eukaryota; Viridiplantae; Streptophyta; Magnoliopsida; Brassicales; Brassicaceae
Source: RNAcentral